GUCACACAGUGAGUGUACCCACGAGAGAUUAGAGGAAGUGCAUGUGCACGCGUGCACGUGAAACUGUGAAAGAAAAGAAAAGAGAAGAAAAAAAAAAGCUUGUUUGUUCAUUCCGGAAUGUAGCAUGCAGCAUGGCAUCUGCUUGUGCAUGGGAGUCGGAGGAGCAGGCCAGAAAGAUUCCGCAGGCCACGCGGCAUUUGCGCCGCAACUCACGCGUCAUUUUGCAUCGGAGAACAUGGUUUUUGGCCCGGGCCGGGCGUGAGAUCGGCAAGGUGGGUGGGGACGCCGCGCCGGUUUCCCCCCUGGUGCGCGGUGGCCUACCCAUCGCCGGCCGAGAUCACGCGAGCCUGCCGCCGCCAUGCCGACUGAUCCGGACGGAGGCAGGUCCCGGUGUCCCGGUCUCCGGAAUCUCUUAGGGCUUGUUUGGGACAAAGGGUAAUGGAAGGGAUUGAGGAGCUAUAAUCCCUCACUAUUCAAAAUUAAGUAGUAAGUACCUUUGAUCCCAAACAAUGCCUUAAACUUUUCCCUUAACGCGUCGCCUGGUACCGUGUUUUGCUGUUCUCCAAUUUGUGGCUUGUCAAAGCUGUCGAGUUAGGCUAGCUCCAGCAAGAGACCUUAAAGAGUUCUGUAUUCUAAAUAUAGAUAAUUAAAUGGCCCUCUACGCUAUCUAGCAGCGUCCUCUAAAUGGUCCUCUAUCCAUUUGAAUACUUUAAAUAACC
Molecule: unclassified non-coding RNA, 719 nt
Filed under: Zea mays
Lineage: Eukaryota; Viridiplantae; Streptophyta; Magnoliopsida; Poales; Poaceae
Description: misc RNA Zm00001eb125370
Source: RNAcentral